CGUCAGCCAUGGAGUAAAAUUUCAGCAAUUGGAAAGCUCCCCAACCUUGAAGUCCUUAAAUUAGGCUAUGAUUCCUUUGUGGGGGAAAAGUGGGAAAUGCAAGAAGGGGAGUUCCAAAACCUCCGAUUCUUGAAAUUGUCACAGUUGGACUUUCGCUGGUGGACCGCCUCUUCUGAUAAUUUUUGCUGUCUUGAGAAAUUGGUUUUGACUAUGUGUAAAUGGCUGGAAGAGGUCCCUUCUUGUUUAGGGGAAGCCCUCACUCUUGACAUGAUUGAGGUAAUAUGGUGUCCUGAGUCUGCAGUAAAUUCUGUGAAGCAAAUUCGGCAAGAACAGAUGGAUAUGGGAAAUAAGGAUCUAAAGAUUGUUGCUGCUGCACGGAAUUGGUGAUGGUCCACGUUUUCUUCUAAGUGCCAACUCAGAAAGAGAGUCGAUCUCCUCUCAUCACAUUUUGCAAAAGCAGAGUGUGGUUCCACUUAUUAGAUUUGUGUGAUCCUUUCAACCAGCAGAGCACAAGAAUACAUGCCAGAUUUCCUUUUGCAGGUCCUCCAAGAAAGGCCAUCCAACUUUUAAACAGAUAUUGGAACUGUACUGCUAAGUUUUUGCCUGUAAAUUGUCUGGGUACUGCACAGGAGGACAACCAAAAUAAAACCACAGACUGCUGGAGCACGCAUGGAUGGCUUGAUAGCCUUCUUGCAUUACUGGCCUGGAACGGAUCCCUCAACUAGGGAAGUAUUUCUGAUGCUGGCAAGGUUCUUGAAUUGAAUAUUUCUUAACUGGAUGGAUCAGUCACUCGCCGGAGGCUUCAUCAGCUAUUGAAACUUCAUGCUCUCCCUGUUUGAUCUUGUUCUUGACAGAUAAUCUCUUCCUUCCAGCAUCGUAGCUCACUAGCUUGCUCAUCAUCUUAUAAGUUGUGUUAAAACUUCUUCUUUUGCACCAUUCAUAAGCAGCCAUUGCUCUUCGCUGAUGAAGUGGAUCAAGUGUUGCUGGUAGCUCAGACUCCGAAAGAGCAGCAAUAUAAAUUUCAUUUGCUCUCAAUCAAAAGAAAAUGACUAUUGUAAUCCAGUGAAAAAUUAUUAGAUUGCACUGUUUUGCUCUAAAGGAAAAACCAUGCGCCAAAUUGAAUUGGAUAGUAUAUUUUUCUCUCA
Coffea eugenioides is the source of this 1145-nucleotide long non-coding RNA. RefSeq lists it as uncharacterized. The record is from RefSeq and is a predicted model, not a curated record. The transcript has 4 exons. NCBI's taxonomy places the organism in Eukaryota, Viridiplantae, Streptophyta, Magnoliopsida, Gentianales, Rubiaceae.